AGGGAAUAGAUACCCGGGUAGUCCACGCCCUAAACGAUGUCGACUGGUUGUUGGGGGUUUGACACUCUCAGUAAACGAAAGCUAAACGCGUGAAAGUCGACCGCCUGGGGAGUACGGCCGCAAGGUUAAAACUCAAAGGAAUUGACGGGGACCCGCACAAGCGGUGGAUUAUGUGGAUUAAUUCGAUGCAACGCGAAAAACCUUAACCUACCCUUGACAUGUCCUGAAUCCUGGAGAGAUCCGGGGUGCCCGAAACGGGAACGGGAACACAGGUGCUGCAUGGCUGUCGUCAGCUCGUGUCGUGAGAUGUUGGGUUAAGUCCCGCAACGAGCGCAACCCUUGUCAUUAGUUGCUACCGCAAGGAGCACUCUAAUGAGACUGCCGGUGACAAACCGGAGGAAGGUGGGAUGACGUCAAGUCCUCAUGGCCCUUAUGGGUAGGGCUUCACACGUAAUACAAUGGUCGGUACAGAGGGUUGCCAAGCCGCGAGGCGGAGCCAAUCCCAGAAAGCCGAUCGUAGUCCGGAUCGCAGUCUGCAACUCGACUGCGUGAAGUC
This 556-nucleotide ribosomal RNA is filed under the name uncultured bacterium. Its description in RNAcentral is "bacterial SSU rRNA". It matches the Rfam family "Bacterial small subunit ribosomal RNA", at positions 773 to 1327 of the family's 1533-position model. The record is from RNAcentral.